Molecule: ribosomal RNA, 597 nt
Filed under: Paracorniculantispora psalliotae
Lineage: Eukaryota; Fungi; Ascomycota; Sordariomycetes; Hypocreales; Cordycipitaceae
Description: eukaryotic LSU rRNA
Rfam family: Eukaryotic large subunit ribosomal RNA
Source: RNAcentral
GCAUAUCAAUAAGCGGAGGAAAAGAAACCAACAGGGAUUGCCCCAGUAACGGCGAGUGAAGCGGCAACAGCUCAAAUUUGAAAUCUGGCCCUCGGGUCCGAAUUGUAAUUUGUAGAGGAUACUUUUGGCGAGGUGCCUUCCGAGUUCCCUGGAACGGGACGCCAUAGAGGGUGAGAGCCCCGUCUGGUCGGAUACCAAGCCUCUGUAAAGUUCCUUCGACGAGUCGAGUAGUUUGGGAAUGCUGCUCAAAAUGGGAGGUAUAUGUCUUCUAAAGCUAAAUAUUGGCCAGAGACCGAUAGCGCACAAGUAGAGUGAUCGAAAGAUGAAAAGCACUUUGAAAAGAGGGUUAAAAAGUACGUGAAAUUGUUGAAAGGGAAGCGCCUAUGACCAGACUUGGGCCCGGUGAAUCAUCCAGCGUUCUCGCUGGUGCACUUUGCCGGGCACAGGCCAGCAUCAGUUUGGCGCGGGGGAUAAAGGCUUUGGGAAUGUGGCUCCCUCGGGAGUGUUAUAGCCCAUUGCGUAAUACCCUGCGCCGGACUGAGGUACGCGCAUUGCAAGGAUGCUGGCGUAAUGGUCAUCAGCGACCCCUCUUGAACA